RNAcentral lists this ribosomal RNA (253 nucleotides) under uncultured bacterium. RNAcentral describes it as "partial 16S ribosomal RNA". It matches the Rfam family "Bacterial small subunit ribosomal RNA", at positions 524 to 776 of the family's 1533-position model. The record is from RNAcentral.
UACGGAGGGUGCAAGCGUUAUCCGGAAUUACUGGGUUUAAAGGGUGCGUAGGCGGCAUUAUAAGUCAGUGGUGAAAAGUCUGGGCUUAACCGAGGCCUUGCCAUUGAAACUGUAAAGCUUGAAAUAAGUUGAGGUAGGCGGAAUGUGACAUGUAGCGGUGAAAUGCAUAGAUAUGUCAUAGAACACCAAUUGCGAAGGCAGCUUACUAGACUUUAUUUGACGCUGAGGCACGAAAGCGUGGGUAGCGAACAGG